This 166-nucleotide unclassified non-coding RNA is filed under the name Dermacentor andersoni. RNAcentral's name for it is "inactive peptidyl-prolyl cis-trans isomerase FKBP6- like". Lineage: Eukaryota; Metazoa; Arthropoda; Arachnida; Ixodida; Ixodidae. The record is from RNAcentral.
UUCGAAAAAAAGUCGCGAGACGUGCAUGGAGCUCAGCAUAGAGCCAUCGGAGCCACCGGCCCGAACGCCUGUCCAUAUAUCCACAACCGAGAUGGAAGACCUAACUGAAGACUGCGGUGUCAUGAAAAAGCCUGAAAGAACUAGGAGUACUGGGGCUGCAGAUCGC